GACGAACCACACAAACGUUAUUCGGAAUUACUGGGCUUAAAGGGUGCGUAGGCUGCGCAGAAAGUUGGGUGUGAAAUCCCUCGGCUCAACCGAGGAACUGCGUCCAAAACUACUGUGCUCGAGGGAGACAGAGGUGAGCGGAACUUAGGGUGGAGCGGUGAAAUGCGUUGAUAUCCUAAGGAACACCCGUGGCGAAAGCGGCUCACUGGGUCUCUUCUGACGCUGAGGCACGAAAGCUAGGGUAGCGAACAGG
This 253-nucleotide ribosomal RNA is filed under the name uncultured bacterium. Its description in RNAcentral is "partial 16S ribosomal RNA". It matches the Rfam family "Bacterial small subunit ribosomal RNA", at positions 524 to 776 of the family's 1533-position model. The record is from RNAcentral.